Molecule: long non-coding RNA, 1536 nt
Organism: Neogale vison (American mink)
Lineage: Eukaryota; Metazoa; Chordata; Mammalia; Carnivora; Mustelidae
Exons: 6
Source: RefSeq, a predicted model, not a curated record
CCCUUACGAUGGCUGUGCCUUGUCAGUUGCUUGAAGCUGCGUUCAGGGAUUUCCUGAGCCUUAUGGAUUUACAGUGACAUUCAGCUGCCCGAGAAUGACGGCGGAGGAAGCAUGGUCUGGAAUCACACGCACCGGGCACACGUUUGGAUGUUAACGGCAGUUUUCAGGAAGACCAUGGCUGAGUGCCUGGCAGAUCCCUGCACCUGGACACCUGUGGGGGACAGAGGACCGCGGCUUCCUGUGAUGCCUGGGAUCUCUGCCCUGUGUCUGCAUGGGCGUUGGCUUGGGUCGCGGCCAGCCUCACUGAGGAUGCCUGUGAAACGUAAGGCCCACCUCCUCCUCGUGCUCCUGCGCGUUCUGUCAGGUGCCCCCCUGGGCUUUCAGGGACUCUGGCCUGGCUGGGGCGAGAGAAGUCACAGUGACGGAGCCGGUUCUCAGGGGGACAUGGCAGUUACUGACCUCCCUCCGGGUGUCUGCUGGAUGCUGGGUACGUGGGGAGACAGCAGGAAACUGAAAGGAGCUUUCCAGCAGCCCCCCGGCUCCCCGUGCCGAUGUGCGUUGUCGUGCCGGUCAGCAUUCCCUGACGGCCGGGCUCCUGGGCCGGUCUCCGGGCACCAGACCACACGGGCCUUGAAGGCGGGGGUCUGGAAGACAGAGUCUAGUGUCUCCUGCUGCAGAAAGGGCAUGAAGGCGUGAUGAAUCCCAUCAUACCUUGGAUUUUGGUGCUAUCAGUCUGAAAAGCAGACGUACCUGUCUGGUACUCUAGAGGGAAUGUCCUUUCCUGAAUGAAAAAGCUGGGCCAUUUGGGGAUUUGGAGAAUAAAGGUUGUCAGGCUGUGAUUUUAGCGGCGUCCUGAGCUCCUGUGGAGAUUUGCCUCUCUCCAGCCUUGGGCCAUCUGCAUUCCUUAACAUCUCUGGGCCCAGAAGGAAAAGGAGAAUGCUGACCAGCUCUGGGAAUGGUCUGAAUGAGGAGAGCACGGUUCCUGGCGGCGGUGGCCUCGGUCCGCAAACAGCCUUGUCCGCAAUGUGCCCAACACGUUGGAAACCUUCUCUUCCCGCAGCUCAGGAUAGAAAACGCAGUCCCGGGGUGGAGUGUGAGAGAACUGCUCAGACAUGUUAAGUAACUCAACAGAGGUCACAUAGCUAAGGGACUCAGAGGAACGUAUCAAGUAGUGAAGGCCAUUUUCCAUCACUGCUGUCCUCCACGAGCUUAUGUCUGGAAUGGGAGGCAUCUUUGCACUAAUGAACAGGUUGGAUGGAGCCCAGAAAACACUUAACACAGGUAGCAUUGACCCAGAGAGAAGUGAAUCCUUGUGUCCAGUGACUAGAAGACACAUGAACCUGGAAAAAGGAGCCUAGGAGAUUGCUGUGUUUCCCCCACAUAGGAGAACACCCACCCCCUCCUGCCCCUCGCCUGUAACACAUGACACAUUUAGCAGUGAUUUGGUCACUGCUGAGCUAUCUUCAUUUAAUGUGAUUUUGACAGAAGAGUUGGUCUGGAAAUUGUAUUUUCAAUUAAACUUCCUUGUUGAGCUGC